Molecule: ribosomal RNA, 403 nt
Filed under: uncultured bacterium
Lineage: Bacteria
Description: bacterial SSU rRNA
Rfam family: Bacterial small subunit ribosomal RNA
Source: RNAcentral
UAGUCCGGAUUUACUGGGUGUAAAGGGUGCGUAGGCGGCUUUGCAAGUCAGAUGUGAAAUCUAUGGGCUCAACCCAUAAACUGCAUUUGAAACUGUAGAGCUUGAGUGAAGUAGAGGCAGGCGGAAUUCCCCGUGUAGCGGUGAAAUGCGUAGAGAUGGGGAGGAACACCAGUGGCGAAGGCGGCCUGCUGGGCUUUAACUGACGCUGAGGCACGAAAGCGUGGGUAGCAAACAGGAUUAGAUACCCUGGUAGUCCACGCUGUAAACGAUGAUUACUAGGUGUGGGGGGUCUGACCCCGCCGUGCCGGAGUUAACACAAUAAGUAUCCACCUGGGGAGUACGGCCGCAAGGUUGAAACUCAGAGGAAUUGACGGGGGCCCGCACUAGCAGUGGAGUAUGUGGU